GACGAACGCUGGCGGCGUGCUUAACACAUGCCAGUCGAACGGAAAGGCCCUGCUUGCCGGGUACUCGAGUGGCGAACGGGUGAGUAACACGUGGGUGAUCUGCCCUGCACUUCGGGAUAAGCUUGGGAAACUGGGUCUAAUACCGGAUAGGAACCAUCUUUAGUGUGGUGGUUGGAAAGUUUUUUCGGUGUAGGAUGAGCUCGCGGCCUAUCAGCUUGUUGGUGGGGUAAUGGCCUACCAAGGCGGCGACGGGUAGCCGGCCUGAGAGGGUGUACGGCCACAUUGGGACUGAGAUACGGCCCAGACUCCUACGGGAGGCAGCAGUGGGGAAUAUUGCACAAUGGGCGCAAGCCUGAUGCAGCGACGCCGCGUGGGGGAUGAAGGCCUUCGGGUUGUAAACUCCUUUCGCUAGGGACGAAGCUUUGUUGUGACGGUACCUAGAUAAGAAGCACCGGCUAACUACGUG
Molecule: ribosomal RNA, 466 nt
Filed under: uncultured bacterium
Lineage: Bacteria
Description: partial 16S ribosomal RNA
Rfam family: Bacterial small subunit ribosomal RNA
Source: RNAcentral